GAUGAACGCUGGCGGCGUGCCUAAUACAUGCAAGUCGAGCGAACGGACGAGAAGCUUGCUUCUCUGAUGUUAGCGGCGGACGGGUGAGUAACACGUGGAUAACCUACCUAUAAGACUGGGAUAACUUCGGGAAACCGGAGCUAAUACCGGAUAAUAUUUUGAACCGCAUGGUUCAAAAGUGAAAGACGGUCUUGCUGUCACUUAUAGAUGGAUCCGCGCUGCAUUAGCUAGUUGGUAAGGUAACGGCUUACCAAGGCAACGAUGCAUAGCCGACCUGAGAGGGUGAUCGGCCACACUGGAACUGAGACACGGUCCAGACUCCUACGGGGGGCAGCAGUAGGGAAUCUUCCGCAAUGGGCGAAAGCCUGACGGAGCAACGCCGCGUGAGUGAUGAAGGUCUUCGGAUCGUAAAACUCUGUUAUUAGGGAAGAACAUAUGUGUAAGUAACUGUGCACAUCUUGACGGUACCUAAUCAGAAAGCCACGGCUAACUACGUGCCAGCAGCCGCGGUAAUACGUAGGUGGCAAGCGUUAUCCGGAAUUAUUGGGCGUAAAGCGCGCGUAGGCGGUUUUUUAAGUCUGAUGUGAAAGCCCACGGCUCAACCGUGGAGGGUCAUUGGAAACUGGAAAACUUGAGUGCAGAAGAGGAAAGUGGAAUUCCAUGUGUAGCGGUGAAAUGCGCAGAGAUAUGGAGGAACACCAGUGGCGAAGGCGACUUUCUGGUCUGUAACUGACGCUGAUGUGCGAAAGCGUGGGGAUCAAACAGGAUUAGAUACCCUGGUAGUCCACGCCGUAAACGAUGAGUGCUAAGUGUUAGGGGGUUUCCGCCCCUUAGUGCUGCAGCUAACGCAUUAAGCACUCCGCCUGGGGAGUACGACCGCAAGGUUGAAACUCAAAGGAAUUGACGGGGACCCGCACAAGCGGUGGAGCAUGUGGUUUAAUUCGAAGCAACGCGAAGAACCUUACCAAAUCUUGACAUCCUUUGACAACUCUAGAGAUAGAGCCUUCCCCUUCGGGGGACAAAGUGACAGGUGGUGCAUGGUUGUCGUCAGCUCGUGUCGUGAGAUGUUGGGUUAAGUCCCGCAACGAGCGCAACCCUUAAGCUUAGUUGCCAUCAUUAAGUUGGGCACUCUAAGUUGACUGCCGGUGACAAACCGGAGGAAGGUGGGGAUGACGUCAAAUCAUCAUGCCCCUUAUGAUUUGGGCUACACACGUGCUACAAUGGACAAUACAAAGGGCAGCGAAACCGCGAGGUCAAGCAAAUCCCAUAAAGUUGUUCUCAGUUCGGAUUGUAGUCUGCAACUCGACUACAUGAAGCUGGAAUCGCUAGUAAUCGUAGAUCAGCAUGCUACGGUGAAUACGUUCCCGAGUCU
Molecule: ribosomal RNA, 1372 nt
Filed under: uncultured bacterium
Lineage: Bacteria
Description: bacterial SSU rRNA
Rfam family: Bacterial small subunit ribosomal RNA
Source: RNAcentral